This 1432-nucleotide ribosomal RNA is filed under the name uncultured organism. Its description in RNAcentral is "SSU rRNA". It matches the Rfam family "Bacterial small subunit ribosomal RNA". The record is from RNAcentral.
AUCUACAGGCUUAACACAUGCAAGUCGAGGGGCAGCAUGGUCUUAGCUUGCUAAGGCCGAUGGCGACCGGCGCACGGGUGAGUAACGCGUAUCCAACCUGCCUUACACUCUUGGACAGCCUUCUGAAAGGGAGAUUAAUACAAGAUGUUAUCAUGAGUAAGCAUUUUCGCAUGAUUAAAGGUUUACCGGUGUAAGAUGGGGAUGCGUUCCAUUAGAUAGUAGGCGGGGUAACGGCCCACCUAGUCUUCGAUGGAUAGGGGUUCUGAGAGGAAGGUCCCCCACAUUGGAACUGAGACACGGUCCAAACUCCUACGGGAGGCAGCAGUGAGGAAUAUUGGUCAAUGGACGAGAGUCUGAACCAGCCAAGUAGCGUGAAGGAUGAAGGUUCUAUGGAUUGUAAACUUCUUUUAUACGGGAAUAAACGAAUCCACGUGUGGAUUUUUGCAUGUACCGUAUGAAUAAGGAUCGGCUAACUCCGUGCCAGCAGCCGCGGUAAUACGGAGGAUCCGAGCGUUAUCCGGAUUUAUUGGGUUUAAAGGGAGCGUAGAUGGGUUGUUAAGUCAGUUGUGAAAGUUUGCGGCUCAACCGUAAAAUUGCAAUUGAUACUGGCAGUCUUGAGUACAGUUGAGGUAGGCGGAAUUCGUGGUGUAGCGGUGAAAUGCUUAGAUAUCACGAAGAACUCCGAUUGCGAAGGCAGCUUACUAACCUGUAACUGACAUUGAUGCUCGAAAGUGUGGGUAUCAAACAGGAUUAGAUACCCUGGUAGUCCACACGGUAAACGAUGAAUACUCGCUGUAGGCGAUAUACAGUCUGCGGCCAAGCGAAAGCAUUAAGUAUUCCACCUGGGGAGUACGCCGGCAACGGUGAAACUCAAAGGAAUUGACGGGGGCCCGCACAAGCGGAGGAACAUGUGGUUUAAUUCGAUGAUACGCGAGGAACCUUACCCGGGCUUAAAUUGCAACCGAAUAUGGCGGAAACGCUAUAGCUAGCAAUAGCGGUUGUGAAGGUGCUGCAUGGUUGUCGUCAGCUCGUGCCGUGAGGUGUCGGCUUAAGUGCCAUAACGAGCGCAACCCUUGCCGAUAGUUACUAACAGGUCAUGCUGAGGACUCUGUCGGGACUGCCAUCGUAAGAUGUGAGGAAGGUGGGGAUGACGUCAAAUCAGCACGGCCCUUACGUCCGGGGCUACACACGUGUUACAAUGGGGGGUACAGAGGGCUGCUACCACGCAAGUGGAUGCCAAUCCCAAAAACCUCUCUCAGUUCGGAUUGAAGUCUGCAACCCGACUUCAUGAAGCUGGAUUCGCUAGUAAUCGCGCAUCAGCCACGGCGCGGUGAAUACGUUCCCGGGCCUUGUACACACCGCCCGUCAAGCCAUGGGAGCCGGGGGUACCUGAAGUGCGUAACCGCAAGGAGCGCCCUAGGGUAAAACUGGU